This 641-nucleotide ribosomal RNA is filed under the name Pseudomonas sp. I15B-00826. RNAcentral's name for it is "bacterial SSU rRNA". It matches the Rfam family "Bacterial small subunit ribosomal RNA", at positions 95 to 732 of the family's 1533-position model. Lineage: Bacteria; Pseudomonadati; Pseudomonadota; Gammaproteobacteria; Pseudomonadales; Pseudomonadaceae. The record is from RNAcentral.
GCGGCGGACGGGUGAGUAAUGCCUAGGAAUCUGCCUGGUAGUGGGGGACAACGUUUCGAAAGGAACGCUAAUACCGCAUACGUCCUACGGGAGAAAGCAGGGGACCUUCGGGCCUUGCGCUAUCAGAUGAGCCUAGGUCGGAUUAGCUAGUUGGUGAGGUAAUGGCUCACCAAGGCGACGAUCCGUAACUGGUCUGAGAGGAUGAUCAGUCACACUGGAACUGAGACACGGUCCAGACUCCUACGGGAGGCAGCAGUGGGGAAUAUUGGACAAUGGGCGAAAGCCUGAUCCAGCCAUGCCGCGUGUGUGAAGAAGGUCUUCGGAUUGUAAAGCACUUUAAGUUGGGAGGAAGGGUUGUAGAUUAAUACUCUGCAAUUUUGACGUUACCGACAGAAUAAGCACCGGCUAACUCUGUGCCAGCAGCCGCGGUAAUACAGAGGGUGCAAGCGUUAAUCGGAAUUACUGGGCGUAAAGCGCGCGUAGGUGGUUCGUUAAGUUGGAUGUGAAAUCCCCGGGCUCAACCUGGGAACUGCAUCCAAAACUGGCGAGCUAGAGUAUGGUAGAGGGUGGUGGAAUUUCCUGUGUAGCGGUGAAAUGCGUAGAUAUAGGAAGGAACACCAGUGGCGAAGGCGACCACCUGG